Molecule: ribosomal RNA, 466 nt
Filed under: uncultured bacterium
Lineage: Bacteria
Description: partial 16S ribosomal RNA
Rfam family: Bacterial small subunit ribosomal RNA
Source: RNAcentral
ACGAACGCUGGCGGCGUGCUUAACACAUGCAAGUCGAACGGAAAGGCCCUGCUUUUGUGGGGUGCUCGAGUGGCGAACGGGUGAGUAACACGUGAGUAACCUGCCCUUUACUUUGGGAUAACUUCAGGAAACUGGGGCUAAUACCGGAUAGGAGCUCCUGCUGCAUGGUGGGGGUUGGAAAGUUUCGGCGGUUGGGGAUGGACUCGCGGCUUAUCAGCUUGUUGGUGGGGUAGUGGCUUACCAAGGCUUUGACGGGUAGCCGGCCUGAGAGGGUGACCGGCCAGCAUUGGGCUGGGGUAAGGCCCAGGCUUGUACGGGAGGCAGCAGUGGGGAAUAAUGCACAAUGGGCGGAAGCCUGAUGCAGCAACGCCGCGUGCGGGAUGACGGCCUUCGGGUUGUACACCGAUUUCGCCUGUGACGAAGCGUGAGGGACGGUAAUGGGUAAAGAAGCACAGGCUAACUACGU